Molecule: ribosomal RNA, 460 nt
Filed under: uncultured bacterium
Lineage: Bacteria
Description: partial 16S ribosomal RNA
Rfam family: Bacterial small subunit ribosomal RNA
Source: RNAcentral
CCUACGGGUGGCAGCAGUGAGGAAUAUUGGUCAAUGGGCGCGAGCCUGAACCAGCCAAGUCGCGUGAGGGAAGACGGCCCUACGGGUUGUAAACCUCUUUUGCCGGGGAGCAACGGGCGCCACGUGUGGCGCCACUGAGGGUACCCGGAGAAAAAGCAUCGGCUAACUCCGUGCCAGCAGCCGCGGUAAUACGGAGGAUGCGAGCGUUAUCCGGAUUCAUUGGGUUUAAAGGGUGCGCAGGCGGGCCUUUAAGCCGGCGGUGAAAUCGCGGGGCUCAACCCCGCCGAGCCGUCGGAACUGGGGGCCUUGAGUGCGGCGGAGGCAUGCGGAAUGCGCGGUGUAGCGGUGAAAUGCAUAGAUAUCGCGCAGAACCCCGAUUGCGAAGGCAGCGUGCCGUGCCGCCACUGACGCUGAGGCACGAAAGCGCGGGGAUCGAACAGGAUUAGAUACCCGGGUAGUC